AUUGAACGCUGGCGGCAGGCCUAACACAUGCGAGUCGAGCGGAUGAAGGGAGCUUGCUCCUGGAUUCAGCGGCGGACGGGUGAGUAAUGCCUAGGAAUCUGCCUGGUAGUGGGGGAUAACGUCCGGAAACGGGCGCUAAUACCGCAUACGUCCUGAGGGAGAAAGUGGGGGAUCUUCGGACCUCACGCUAUCAGAUGAGCCUAGGUCGGAUUAGCUAGUUGGUGGGGUAAAGGCCUACCAAGGCGACGAUCCGUAACUGGUCUGAGACGAUGAUCAGUCACACUGGAACUGAGACACGGUCCAGACUCCUACGGGAGGCAGCAGUGGGGAAUAUUGGACAAUGGGCGAAAGCCUGAUCCAGCCAUGCCGCGUGUGUGAAGAAGGUCUUCGGAUUGUAAAGCACUUUAAGUUGGGAGGAAGGGCAGUAAGUUAAUACCUUGCUGUUUUGACGUUACCAACAGAAUAAGCACCGGCUAACUUCGUG
This 484-nucleotide ribosomal RNA is filed under the name uncultured bacterium. RNAcentral describes it as "partial 16S ribosomal RNA". It matches the Rfam family "Bacterial small subunit ribosomal RNA", at positions 30 to 507 of the family's 1533-position model. The record is from RNAcentral.